UGGGGAAUAUUGCACAAUGGGCGCAAGCCUGAUGCAGCAAUGCCGCGUGUGUGAAGAAGGCCUUCGGGUUGUAAAGCACUUUCAGCGGGGAGGAAGGCGAUAAGGUUAAUAACCUUGUCGAUUGACGUUACCCGCAGAAGAAGCACCGGCUAACUCCGUGCCAGCAGCCGCGGUAAUACGGAGGGUGCAAGCGUUAAUCGGAAUUACUGGGCGUAAAGCGCACGCAGGCGGUCUGUCAAGUCGGAUGUGAAAUCCCCGGGCUCAACCUGGGAACUGCAUUCGAAACUGGCAGGCUAGAGUCUUGUAGAGGGGGGUAGAAUUCCAGGUGUAGCGGUGAAAUGCGUAGAGAUCUGGAGGAAUACCGGUGGCGAAGGCGGCCCCCUGGACAAAGACUGACGCUCAGGUGCGAAAGCGUGGGGAGCAAACAGG
Molecule: ribosomal RNA, 429 nt
Filed under: Chloroflexota bacterium
Lineage: Bacteria; Bacillati; Chloroflexota
Description: Chloroflexi bacterium partial 16S ribosomal RNA
Rfam family: Bacterial small subunit ribosomal RNA
Source: RNAcentral